Molecule: ribosomal RNA, 632 nt
Filed under: uncultured bacterium
Lineage: Bacteria
Description: bacterial SSU rRNA
Rfam family: Bacterial small subunit ribosomal RNA
Source: RNAcentral
UAACGCGUAAGGAACUUGCCUCUUGGUCUGGGACAACUGUUGGAAACGACAGCUAAUACCGGAUAUUAUGAGAUUCUCGCAUGGGAAACUUAUGAAAGCUAUAUGCGCCAAGAGAGAGCCUUGCGUUCCAUUAGCUAGUUGGUGGGGUAACGGCCCACCAAGGCGACGAUGGAUAGCCGGCCUGAGAGGGUGAACGGCCACAAGGGGACUGAGACACGGCCCUUACUCCUACGGGAGGCAGCAGUGGGGAAUAUUGGACAAUGGGCCACAAGCCUGAUCCAGCAAUUCUGUGUGCACGAUGAAGGUCUUCGGAUUGUAAAGUGCUUUCAGUUGGGAAGAAGAAAGUGACGGUACCAACAGAAGAAGCGACGGCUAAAUACGUGCCAGCAGCCGCGGUAAUACGUAUGUCGCAAGCGUUAUCCGGAUUUAUUGGGCGUAAAGCGCGUCUAGGCGGAAAAAUAAGUCUGAUGUUAAAAUGCGGGGCUCAACUCCGUAUUGCGUUGGAAACUGUUUUUCUAGAGUACUGGAGAGGUGGGCGGAACUACAAGUGUAGAGGUGAAAUUCGUAGAUAUUUGUAGGAAUGCCGAUGGAGAAGUCAGCUCACUGGACAGAUACUGACGCUAAAGCGCGAA